Molecule: long non-coding RNA, 781 nt
Organism: Pseudophryne corroboree (corroboree frog)
Lineage: Eukaryota; Metazoa; Chordata; Amphibia; Anura; Myobatrachidae
Exons: 2
Source: RefSeq, a predicted model, not a curated record
GCUGCUGCCUCCCUCAUUCUCCUUCAAGAUCUGGAGACAGACAUCUCACCGGCAGCUCACCGGCAGGAGUAGAAACAACUGGCAGGAGAAACAUACUUGGCUGAGCACCAUGGCCUUAAUAUGGAUGAUCUCACUUUGGGAGAUGAUAACUGCCUGUUGUCCAUGCAGAAGAUACCGGUCUGCACAGAGAAGGAAUGCCCACUUGCUUCGCCAUACCAGGCUUGAGGAACAAGAACUGCCUCCAACCAAGCCAGUGGGUUAUAUGAUCACUCUGAUGGCAGUUUGUACAAAGAACUGUCUCCCAGAGAUAAAGACAAAGACCGCCAGAUAAAAGUCCUCGAGCUCCUAAACAAACAAUUAAUCGAGGAGAACAACUUGUUAGCGGCAGAAAAUACCUUAUUGAAGAUCAAGGUUGAAAAGCUUAAAGGCACGCUACCGAAGGUCAUAGAGCUGUUCUAGGCCCCUGUCUAACUCCGCCGCUGUACGGACAAGCACCCAGUAGCUGACCAGUAAACAUGGAUCCUUAUCUUUAUGCACUCACCUAUUAGAGCAGGGGGGAAUAUGCACUGAGAGGUUUCUGUAGUCUUCUAAUCGAAAAGGAGUGACCUUUCUUUUUUGAAGUCUGCAGAAAUCUCUCAGUGUGUAUUUCCCACCUUUCCUCACCUUCUCUAAUAGGUAAGUACAUAAAAACAAUGAUUCAUGUCCACCAUCUACUGGUUUCAGCGUACUGUGGUAACUUGUUAUUAAUCUUUAACAUCAAUAAAGAACCAGUACAAAAUCA